Long non-coding RNA from Chinchilla lanigera (long-tailed chinchilla), 2006 nucleotides. RefSeq lists it as uncharacterized. Lineage: Eukaryota; Metazoa; Chordata; Mammalia; Rodentia; Chinchillidae. The record is from RefSeq and is a predicted model, not a curated record. The transcript is spliced from 7 exons.
AAACCAUGGGCCAUAGAGGAAGUCAUUUAUAUACUGGAUUUCUUUGUGAGGUUUAAUUGCCAAAGAUAUUCCAAAAUGUAGACUCAGCCCCGCCUGAUAAAAUGUGACCUCUUAGUGCACAGAAGGAAAUCUGAGGUGAAGUGAACUGGGCUCUUUCCUGAGAGAAGAGCGGAGGAACAACGGCAUGGUUUGCCUGGCAUUUCCUUUCCAAUUAUUUGUGAAGUCUUGCUUGUGAAAAUAGCCACAACAGAGCAGAGUCUGGUGUGCUCUGCAGAUGCUGACAAGACAAGUGAUGGCUCCACGGAACUGGCCUCUGCUAUCAAGGUUUUGAACAAAGUAUAAUCUUGUUCAGCUCAGAACUUACUGUGGCGUGUUAAGUCUAAGAUUUUGUCUCGCGUAAUUUGUUGAGCUGAACUUGCCAACGAAUAAAACCAGUAAACCUGCCUUGAAUCCUCACAGAAUUCCACUAACAGGGGCCCUCAACCUAACUGAGAAAACUAAAGGAAAGCUAAAGGUAGAUACUGGAAGGACACCUCUGCCAUGUAAAAGUUUUAAGACUUAUUUAUACUCCCCAUUGUGAUGGUGACAGAACUCUGGGAUUCUCCUGAGACUGCCUGACAUUCAGUGUGAAUUUGGACCAAAGAUCAGAAAAUAUGUGAUAGAAGGCAAUGAUUAGUUUAUCGCCUUAACAUAAACACCUACAACAAGCCAACUAUUAAUUUGGAUCAUCAGCCUCAACAAAUGUUCACUUCAAUAAAAUUAGAGGAAAGGAAUUCAUGAGUGCAUACAACAAGCACCUUAUAAGCCCACAAAGAAGGAAGUCCGAAUGCCAUUACAGCAGCCUAGAAGAUACAAUCAUGUUUGAUGGCUUUGUUGGAAAUCGCUUUACCUUAAAAGCCAGGCAACAAGCAAGCUAGUCGUGUGUGACCACCGGUGGGUGACCCCUGGAAGCUUGUACAACCUGCUUGCUGGAAACCAGAGAAAACCCCCACUGCACUCCAAGCGGAACAGCCAGAGAUAUGUGGAUUAAACCCUGUAAUAGAAGCUUAACUGAGCAGAAUAAUUCACGAAUACGUUAGAUUCUUCAUAUUGAUCAUGGACUUCAUUGAUUUUUCAGCUUUCGCUUUAACUCACAAGUUGUGCUAAGGUAGUGGAGCCAUUUUAGAAUGUGGCCCAAUUUAGUAUGAAUGUGGAAAUGAAUUUAGUCUGCAUCCAGAUUAAAACUCCUGGAGAAGCAAUACAGUGCUAUGUUCAAUAAUGGCGGCUCAGGAGCUAGCCAGCGUGAAUGUGAAGAGUAGGUCUCACUCCUAAAUCCUCACCAACUGUGUGACUUUGGGGCAAGUUGUUCAUGCUUUCAAUUACUCUGGUUUUCUUAUUUCUUUGGGUUCUUGAGGAGAUUGCAGAACUUGGUAGAUGGAAAGUACUCAGAUCAUUGCUUCACUGAGCCAAUUGCUUCACAGAUCAUCCUUGCAGUGAUUACUACUAUUGUUACAGGCAAGUCAGCACUGUAAUAGAUAUUCCUAAUUAAAAAUCAGAAAUGUAUAUCCUCACCACUAAAUUUGGGAGGUGGUAUGAGAGUAUGAGAUGGAAAUCAAAUGAGAGAGAGAGAGCAAGAUUGAUUGACGGUGCUACUGACUAGUUGGGAUUUUAGGCAAGUUCUUAGCUUCCCUAAGCCUGUUUCUUCAUCUGAAAGGACAACAAUGUCUAGUGCAUAGGGCGGCUGGGAGGAUUGAGUAAGAUGAUCUAUAAACAUGUCUGACACAUCGUAUUUAGCCAAUAAGUGAUAGCUGUGAAUGAAUUGCUCAACUUUGUUCUCCACAUCAUUGAAGUGUGCUAACAGGUGGUGACUGUAAGAAUUAUUGAACUUCAAUUUUAGUAUUUAUGUCUGAACAACUGCCCUCUGAUUACUUUAACUAUUCAUUGUACCUUGCCCAGAGAUUUCUAGAAUUGUAUUAAUUUAAACUAAAAGCUGUUUUCCUAUGUCUGAAUGGAGAGACAAGAAGAAU